Molecule: ribosomal RNA, 253 nt
Filed under: uncultured bacterium
Lineage: Bacteria
Description: partial 16S ribosomal RNA
Rfam family: Bacterial small subunit ribosomal RNA
Source: RNAcentral
UACGUAGGGUGCGAGCGUUAAUCGGAAUUACUGGGCGUAAAGCGUGCGCAGGCGGUUCGUUAAGUCAGGUGUGAAUGCCCCGGGCUCAACCUGGGAACUGCAUUUGAAACUGGCGGGCUUGAGUGUGGCAGAGGGGGGUGGAAUUCCGCGUGUAGCAGUGAAAUGCGUAGAGAUGCGGAGGAACACCGAUGGCGAAGGCAGGUCUCUGGGCCACUACUGACGCUGAGAAGCGAAAGCAUGGGGAGCGAACAGG